GACGAACGCUGGCGGCGUGCUUAACACAUGCAAGUCGAACGGUGAAGCGCCUUCCUUUUUGGUGGGUGUGGAUGAGUGGCGAACGGGUGAGUAACACGUGAGUAACCUGCCCCCUUCUUCUGGAUAACCGCAUGAAAGUGUGGCUAAUACGGGAUAUUCUGGGUCUGUCGCAUGAUGGUCUUGGAAAGGUAUUGUUUUCGUGGGGGAUGGGCUCGCGGCCUUUCAGGUUGUUGGUGGGGUGAUGGCCUAACAAGGGGGUGACGGGUAGCCGGCCUGAGAGGGUGGACGGUCACACUGGGACUGAGACACGGCCCAGACUCCUACGGGAGGCAGCAGUGGGGAAUAUUGCACAAUGGGCGCAAGCCUGAUGCAGCGACGCCGCGGGAGGGAUGGAGGCCUUCGGGUUGUGAACCUCUUUCGCCAGUGAAGCAGGCCUGCCUCGUUUGUGGGUGGGUUGACGGUAGCUGGAGAAGAAGCGCCGGCUAACUACGUG
RNAcentral lists this ribosomal RNA (493 nucleotides) under uncultured bacterium. Its description in RNAcentral is "partial 16S ribosomal RNA". It matches the Rfam family "Bacterial small subunit ribosomal RNA", at positions 28 to 507 of the family's 1533-position model. The record is from RNAcentral.